This is a long non-coding RNA of Lycium barbarum (goji berry), 844 nucleotides long. RefSeq lists it as uncharacterized. The record is from RefSeq and is a predicted model, not a curated record. The transcript is spliced from 3 exons. NCBI's taxonomy places the organism in Eukaryota, Viridiplantae, Streptophyta, Magnoliopsida, Solanales, Solanaceae.
UGCUGAAAAUCGAAAGAAAUAGACUAUACCACACACAGGCGGCUCCAAAGCCAAUGCUACGAGAAGGGCUGAAAUGGUGAGUAAAUUAACUUGCUAUGUAAUUAUUUCUAUGUAGUAAAUAAUUCUGAUUUGAUUUUUAUUUAUAGAUGGCUCAGACUGGACAAAGGCCUGGACGAGCACAAAUAUACCUUGCUACUCAUAAGAAUCAAGAUGGAGUAUAUGUUAAUGAAGCAGCAAAAGAAAUAUGCGAAAAAAUUGAGUUAGCUUUAAGCCAAAGCACCAUAGACGAGUCUCAAAUUUCGCGAAAUGAUGUCGUCGGCAAGGUGCUAGGAGAAGAGCACUCUGGGAGGGUGAGGUGAUUGGGAUUAGGAAUUGUCCCCAGUAAAGUUUUUAAACAAGCAAGACCUCGUUUCAGCGGUACAAGUGCUUCAAGAAGUGAAGGUUCAUGUUCGUCCCAAUGUCAACAGAACCAUAAGAAAAUGAUAAAUGCUCAGGAAAAAAUGAUGAAUGCUUUCAAGGCAUAUAUGAUAAUGAAAGAAGGGACGAUACCAGAACAGUUUGCGGGGUUCUUUGCUUCUUCUUCGGCGGUUUCUCCUACAACACCAAGUGAUGUGGCGAGUGGAUCCCUUUCGCCCAUGGACGCAAGAAGAUCAUGCGGUGAUAGUAAUCCUAGUAACAACCGUUGAUUUCAUUGUAUUGUUUGGUAGGAACGGAUGUUAGAAUGCUGGAGUGAAUGUAUUGUGUUUAAAUUUAGUUUUUGAGUGAUCUGAUAAUGCUACUUAAAUUUUUAGUUUCAAAAGCUAAUGGUACUUUAUGAUAACAUUUGUGAUUUUACGAUAUGUUA